This 497-nucleotide ribosomal RNA is filed under the name uncultured bacterium. RNAcentral describes it as "partial 16S ribosomal RNA". It matches the Rfam family "Bacterial small subunit ribosomal RNA", at positions 28 to 507 of the family's 1533-position model. The record is from RNAcentral.
GACGAACGCUGGCGGCGUGCCUAAUACAUGCAAGUCGAGCGCACAGAUGAGGUGCUUGCUCCUCUUACGUUAGCGGCGGACGGGUGAGUAACACGUGGAUAACCUACCUAUAAGCCUGGGAUAACUUCGGGAAACGGGAGCUAAUACCGGAUAAUAUAUUUAAACGCAUGGUUCAAUAGUGAAAGACGGAUUUGCUGUACCUUAUAGAUGGAUCCCCGUCUCUUUAGCUAGUUGGUAAGUUAACGCCCUCCAAAGGCAACGUUGCGUAGCCACCCUGGAGGGGUGUCGGCCCACACGGGAACGAGAAAACGGUCAAAACUCCAACGGAAGGAGGAGUAAGGGAAUCUUGGGCAAGGGGCGAAAGCCGGACGGAGCAACGCCGCGUGAGGAAUGAAGGUCUCCGGAUCGAAAAACUCUUUUAUAAAGGAAAAACAUGUGUGGAAUUAACAAUGCACGACGUGACGGUACCUAAUCAGAAAGGCACGGCUAACUACGUG